This 44-nucleotide ribosomal RNA is filed under the name Plantago spinulosa. RNAcentral's name for it is "partial 26S ribosomal RNA". Lineage: Eukaryota; Viridiplantae; Streptophyta; Magnoliopsida; Lamiales; Plantaginaceae. The record is from RNAcentral.
GACCGCGACCCCAGGUCAGACGGGACUACCCGCUGAGUUUAAGC